Molecule: small nuclear RNA, 23 nt
Filed under: Arabidopsis thaliana (thale cress)
Lineage: Eukaryota; Viridiplantae; Streptophyta; Magnoliopsida; Brassicales; Brassicaceae
Description: snRNA_09097
Source: RNAcentral
CUAACAAGGAUUCCCUUAGUAAC